GUAGGAAUAGUGUGUAAGUCGCUCUGGAUAAGAGCGUCUGCUAAAUGACGUAAA
Non-coding RNA from Salmo salar (Atlantic salmon), 54 nucleotides. Lineage: Eukaryota; Metazoa; Chordata; Actinopteri; Salmoniformes; Salmonidae. The record is from Rfam.